GCAAGCCUGGAGUUCUGAUGUCCAAGGCAGCAGAUGAAAAGUCUGUCCCAGUUCUCAGAGACAGUCCAGUUUGCCUUCAGUAUUUGUUCUUUUUGGGCCCCUCACCUGUUGGAUGAUGUCCACCAACACUUCCCCGCCUAAUCCAUUCAGGCGCACACUCUAUCUCCUUUGGAAACACCCUCACGGAUACAUCCAAAAUAAUGCUUUACCAGGUUUCUAGGUAUUCCUUAACCCAGUCAAGCUGACACCUAAAAUUAAGUCCACCAGUUCAAUCCUUAUCAAUUUGGCAGCCACAGGCAUGUCUUCAAACAAGACUUAAUUUCCAAAUAAAGACAAUAGCAUGUCUUUAUUUGGUUUUGUUUAACAUGUAUGCAACUGUCCUGUGCUUGUGAUUUUCAGGAUUUUAGACAUUAGGGAUUUAGACUUUAGGGUUUUGAUCUUUCAGGAUUUCAAUAUUCAGGAUUAUGGCAUCCAGGAUUAUAUCUUCUGGGAUCAUAAUCCAACCCCCUACUAACUUUCUAUUUUCAGAUUUCCUAGAAAUUGUAAUCAACCAGAAUCCUGGAGAAGUAAAAGCUUGAAAGGAACCUAAUGUGUGAGGGAAGUGGACCUGAGUGAUACAAGGAAAGAAGCAUAGCAGACAACACUCGUGUUCUGUCCAGAUCUCCUGGGUUUCCUUCCAUUGGUUCAGCGUGCCCAUUCUCCAGAUGCUACAGGUUCUGUUGCUAACAGCUCACACCUGCAAUAGUCUCAGGAGGAUUGCCCUUGGCAGAUUGAAGCAACAUCAUCAGGAGGUGUCUGGAAGUUAUGUACUCAUGUCUGUAACAGCCUGUGAACAAUGACUGCCUGAUGUCUGAUAUGGAGGUACAAAAGAAGUCUCACUCCCUUGCCACCAGGGCUGCCCUUUUGAAGAGUUUGUGGAAACAUCUAGGUCAGACCCAUUCAGAGUUCUCCAACAGGAAAUUGAGCCCAGCACUCUGCUCUGAAAGGUGACCACCUGACAAAGCAUCCUCUUCUGUCCUUUCCAGGUCCCCUGGUUUGUGAUGCAGAGUCCUUCAUUGAGUUUCCAGUGCAACCCUUUCUGAUGAAUUCACCUCAGAGUCACUUUUACUACCAGGGGAUCCAUCAUAUUAAAAUGGCACUUAGGAGCUACGUGAGGCAGUGAGGAGGAGGGGAAUGGAAAGACUGAGCAGCAAGAAGAGAGGAGGGUGAGGUGGGAACCCUGAUGGCUGAGGGGAAAAAGUUAACUGAACUGCCUUGGAAAUAAGCUCCACGUAUUUUUGGAUCAAGCCUCAGUGUUCUAUCUAGUGUGUUUGACAGAUAGGGUGGAUUAUGUUUUAACUUUUCUUCCUCUACAUGGCAUAGUUAUUUUUGGGAAUAAUCAUGAAAUGAAACAAAUAAUUAAUAGCCAGGAAACUUUAAAUAGUGAACAUUUUCUUUUACUGACCCUUGUAUGGUCAUG
This 1459-nucleotide long non-coding RNA is filed under the name Papio anubis (olive baboon). RNAcentral's name for it is "lncRNA (ENSPANG00000043644.1)". The record is from RNAcentral. Lineage: Eukaryota; Metazoa; Chordata; Mammalia; Primates; Cercopithecidae.